RNAcentral lists this transfer RNA (64 nucleotides) under Triticum aestivum (bread wheat). It matches the Rfam family "tRNA". Rfam says of the family: Transfer RNA (tRNA) molecules are approximately 80 nucleotides in length. Their secondary structure includes four short double-helical elements and three loops (D, anti-codon, and T loops). Further hydrogen bonds mediate the characteristic L-shaped molecular structure. tRNAs have two regions of fundamental functional importance: the anti-codon, which is responsible for specific mRNA codon recognition, and the 3' end, to which the tRNAs corresponding amino acid is attached (by aminoacyl-tRNA synthetases). tRNAs cope with the degeneracy of the genetic code in two manners: having more than one tRNA (with a specific anti-codon) for a particular amino acid; and 'wobble' base-pairing, i.e. permitting non-standard base-pairing at the 3rd anti-codon position. Lineage: Eukaryota; Viridiplantae; Streptophyta; Magnoliopsida; Poales; Poaceae. RNAcentral also lists the same sequence under 1 other name. The record is from Rfam by way of RNAcentral.
GGCAUGGCCAAGCGGUAAGGCAGGGGACUGCAAAUCCUUUAUCCCCAGUUCAAAUCUGGGUGCC